Molecule: ribosomal RNA, 677 nt
Filed under: uncultured Lachnospiraceae bacterium
Lineage: Bacteria; Bacillati; Bacillota; Clostridia; Lachnospirales; Lachnospiraceae
Description: bacterial SSU rRNA
Rfam family: Bacterial small subunit ribosomal RNA
Source: RNAcentral
AUGCGUAUCGGAAAGCUUCGGCCGGAAGAUACGUUAUCUAGUGGCGGACGGGUGAGUAACACGUGGGUAACCUGCCUUAUGGAGGGGGAUUACAGAGAGAAAUCACUGCUAAUACCGCAUAAGCACACAGUACCGCAUGGUACAGGGUGAAAAGAUUUAUCGCCAUAAGAUGGACCCGCGUCUGAUUAGCCAGUUGGCAGGGUAAAAGCCUACCAAAGCAACGAUCAGUAGCCGAUCUGAGAGGAUGACCGGCCACAUUGGGACUGAGACACGGCCCAAACUCCUACGGGAGGCAGCAGUGGGGAAUAUUGCACAAUGGGGGGAACCCUGAUGCAGCGACGCCGCGUGAGUGAAGAAGUAUUUCGGUAUGUAAAGCUCUGUCAGCAGGGAAGAUAAUGACAGUACCUGACUAAGAAGCCCCGGCUAACUACGUGCCAGCAGCCGCGGUAAUACGUAGGGGGCAAGCGUUAUCCGGAUUUACUGGGUGUAAAGGGAGCGUAGACGGAAUGGCAAGUCUGAAGUGAAAUACCCGGGCUCAACCUGGGAACUGCUUUGGAAACUGUUGUUCUAGAGUGUUGGAGAGGUAAGUGGAAUUCCUGGUGUAGCGGUGAAAUGCGUAGAUAUCAGGAAGAACACCGGAGGCGAAGGCGGCUUACUGGACAAUAACUGACGUUGAG